UACGGUGGGGGUAAGCGUUGUUCGGAAUUACUGGGCGUAAAGGGCUCGUAGGCGGCCAACUAAGUCAGACGUGAAAUCCCUCAGCUUAACUGGGGAACUGCGUCUGAUACUGGAUGGCUUGGAUUCGGGAGAGGGAUGCGGAAUUCCAGGUGUAGCGGUGAAAUGCGUAGAUAUCUGGAGGAACAUCAGUGGCGAAGGCGACUUCCUGGACCAAUACUGACGCUCAGGUGCGAAAGCGUGGGGAGCAAACAGG
RNAcentral lists this ribosomal RNA (253 nucleotides) under uncultured bacterium. RNAcentral describes it as "partial 16S ribosomal RNA". It matches the Rfam family "Bacterial small subunit ribosomal RNA", at positions 524 to 776 of the family's 1533-position model. The record is from RNAcentral.